Molecule: ribosomal RNA, 440 nt
Filed under: uncultured bacterium
Lineage: Bacteria
Description: partial 16S ribosomal RNA
Rfam family: Bacterial small subunit ribosomal RNA
Source: RNAcentral
CCUACGGGAGGCAGCAGUGGGGAAUAUUGCACAAUGGGGGAAACCCUGAUGCAGCAACGCCGCGUGAGUGAAGAAGUCAUUCGUGAUGUAAAGCUCUAUCAGCCGGGAAGAAAAUGACGGUACCUGACUAAGAAGCCCCGGCUAACUACGUGCCAGCAGCCGCGGUCAUACGUAGGGGGCAAGCGUUAUCCGGAUUUACUGGGUGUAAAGGGAGAGUUGACGGGGACGAAAGUCUGGAGGGAAAUGCCAGGGCUCAACACUGGAACUGCUUUGGAAACUGUGUGGCUAGAGUGCGGGAGAGGUAAAUGGAAUGCGUAGUGUAGCGGUGAAAUGCGUAGAUAUUAGGAGGAACUCCAGUGGCGAAGGCGGCUUACUGGACUGUAACUGACGUUGAGGCUCGAAGGCGUGGGGAGCAAACAGGAUUAGAUACCCGGGUAGUC